GGAUGAACGCUAGCGGGAGGCUUAACACAUGCAAGUCGAGGGGCAGCAUAGGGUAGCAAUACUCUGAUGGCGACCGGCAAACGGGUGAGUAACGCGUAUGCAACCUACCCUGUACAGGGGGAUAACCCGGAGAAAUUCGGACUAAUAUCCCGUAAUAAUAUCCGGAGGCAUCUUUGGAUAUUUAAAGUUCCGACGGUACGGGAUGGGCAUGCGUAACAUUAGCUGGUUGGUAAGGUAACGGCUUACCAAGGCUAUGAUGUUUAGGGGUCCUGAGAGGGUGGUCCCCCACACUGGUACUGAGACACGGACCAGACUCCUACGGGAGGCAGCAGUGAGGAAUAUUGGUCAAUGGGCGCAAGCCUGAACCAGCCAUCCCGCGUGCAGGAAGACGGCCCUAUGGGUUGUAAACUGCUUUUCCAGGGAGAGAAACUUACGCACGUGUUGCGUGACUGACGGUACCCUGGGAAUAAGCAUCGGCUAACUCCGUGCCAGCAGCCGCGGUAAUACGGAGGAUGCAAGCGUUAUCCGGAUUCAUUGGGUUUAAAGGGUGCGUAGGCGGGCUAUUAAGUCAGUGGUGAAAUCCUGCAGCUUAACUGCAGAACUGCCGUUGAUACUGAUAGUCUUGAGUUUGGUUAAGGUAGGCGGAAUGUGUAAUGUAGCGGUGAAAUGCUUAGAUAUUACACAGAACACCAAUUGCGUAGGCAGCUUACUGAGCCGACACUGACGCUGAGGCACGAAAGCGUGGGGAUCAAACAGGAUUAGAUACCCUGGUAGUCCACGCCGUAAACGAUGAUUACUCGCUGUUGGCGAUACACUGUCAGCGGCUAAGCAAAAGCAAUAAGUAAUCCACCUGGGGAGUACGGCCGCAAGGUUGAAACUCAAAGGAAUUGACGGGGGCCCGCACAAGCGGUGGAGCAUGUGGUUUAAUUCGACGCAACGCGAAGAACCUUACCAGGUUUUGACAUCCUCUGACAGCUCAAGAGAUUGGGUGUUCAAUCUUCGGAUUGACAGAGAGACAGGUGGUGCAUGGUUGUCGUCAGCUCGUGUCGUGAGAUGUUGGGUUAAGUCCCGCAACGAGCGCAACCCUUAUUCUUAGUUGCCAGCAAGCAAGAUGGGCACUCUAAGGAGACUGCCGGUGACAAACCGGAGGAAGGUGGGGAUGACGUCAAAUCAUCAUGCCCUUUAUGACCUGGGCGACACACGUGCUACAAUGGCCUGUACAAAGGGUAGCGAAGCUGUGAAGUGGAGCCAAUCCCAAAAAGCAGGUCUCAGUUCGGAUUGCAGGCUGCAACUCGCCUGCAUGAAGUCGGAAUCGCUAGUAAUCGCGGAUCAGCACGCCGCGGUGAAUACGUUCCCGGGCCU
This 1362-nucleotide ribosomal RNA is filed under the name uncultured bacterium. Its description in RNAcentral is "bacterial SSU rRNA". It matches the Rfam family "Bacterial small subunit ribosomal RNA", at positions 27 to 1381 of the family's 1533-position model. The record is from RNAcentral.